AGACGGAGGAUGCAAGCGUUAUCCGGAAUGAUUGGGCGUAAAGCGUCCGCAGGUGGCAAUUCAAGUCUGCUGUUAAAGCGCAGGGCUUAACCCUGUAAAGGCAGUGGAAACUGAAUAGCUAGAGUAUGGUAGGGGUAGAGGGAAUUCCCAGUGUAGCGGUGAAAUGCGUAGAUAUUGGGAAGAACAUCGGUGGCGAAGGCGCUCUGCUGGACCAUAACUGACACUCACAGGACGAAAGCUAGGGGAGC
This 248-nucleotide ribosomal RNA is filed under the name uncultured bacterium. RNAcentral describes it as "partial 16S ribosomal RNA". It matches the Rfam family "Bacterial small subunit ribosomal RNA", at positions 523 to 769 of the family's 1533-position model. The record is from RNAcentral.